AGAAUCAAGCCAUGUUAGGAUGAGGGGAUGCUCGAUUGGGAAAGCCCGGUGAAAGUCCGGUACUGUGCCGCAACUGUAAAGUCCAAAUAACUUGAGACAGCAGGUUAUUGGAGUAAGUCAGAAUGCCAAUCGAGAAUAGAACAUUCAU
This 148-nucleotide non-coding RNA is filed under the name Synechococcus sp. The record is from RNAcentral. Lineage: Bacteria; Bacillati; Cyanobacteriota; Cyanophyceae; Synechococcales; Synechococcaceae.